CAUGCAUAUUAGAACUAAGCAUGACCAAUCACAAAUUUAGUAACAGAAGAUUAAGACCUUUUCUUCGAAGAAUUAACCGGCCAAAAAACAAAAAUAAGAUAAUUUGAUCUCACUUACAAAGGGACUUCCUGCAAGAGAAUUUGACAUUCAUGAGGAAGCUUGGUAUGAAGGACAUAGUUCUACAAAGCAAGAGAGAAAAGACCAAGUAAUAUUACUGAUCUUCGACUUAUUUGUAGAAUUUUAUAGUGAAAAAUCAUUAGUUUCCUGAUAUCCUCGGAUUUAUCUUUUGUGUCUUCAGCUUAGAAUAUCUUGUAGUAAUCAGCAAAUAUGUACAUACUUUGUAUUCCUGUAUCAAGCCUAUAUAAAGGACUCUUUC
RNAcentral lists this long non-coding RNA (376 nucleotides) under Daucus carota (carrot). RNAcentral's name for it is "long non-coding RNA (DCAR_LNC007282)". The record is from RNAcentral. Lineage: Eukaryota; Viridiplantae; Streptophyta; Magnoliopsida; Apiales; Apiaceae.